AGAAGUUUGAAUCUGGCUCAGAUUGAACGCUGGCGGCAUGCCUUUACACAUGCAAGUCGAACGGCAGCACGGAGCUUGCUCUGGUGGCGAGUGGCGAACGGGUGAGUAAUAUAUCGGAACGUACCUGGAGUGGGGGAUAACGUAGCGAAAGUUACGCUAAUACCGCAUACGAUCUAAGGAUGAAAGUGGGGGAUCGCAAGACCUCAUGCUCGUGGAGCGGCCGAUAUCUGAUUAGCUAGUUGGUAGGGUAAAAGCCUACCAAGGCAUCGAUCAGUAGCUGGUCUGAGAGGACGACCAGCCACACUGGAACUGAGACACGGUCCAGACUCUACGGGAGGCAGCAGUGGGGAAUUUUGGACAAUGGGCGAAAGCCUGAUCCAGCAAUGCCGCGUGAGUGAAGAAGGCCUUCGGGUUGUAAAGCUCUUUUGUCAGGGAAGAAACGGUGAGGGCUAAUAUCUUUUGCUAAUGACGGUACCUGAAGAAUAAGCACCGGCUAACUACGUGCCAGCAGCCGCGGUAAUACGUAGGGUGCAAGCGUUAAUCGGAAUUACUGGGCGUAAAGCGUGCGCAGGCGGUUUUGUAAGUCUGAUGUGAAAUCCCCGGGCUCAACCUGGGAAUUGCAUUGGAGACUGCAAGGCUAGAAUCUGGCAGAGGGGGGUAGAAUUCCACGUGUAGCAGUGAAAUGCGUAGAUAUGUGGAGGAACACCGAUGGCGAAGGCAGCCCCCUGGGUCAAGAUUGACGCUCAUGCACGAAAGCGUGGGGAGCAAACAGGAUUAGAUACCCUGGUAGUCCACGCCCUAAACGAUGUCUACUAGUUGUCGGGUCUUAAUUGACUUGGUAACGCAGCUAACGCGUGAAGUAGACCGCCUGGGGAGUACGGUCGCAAGAUUAAAACUCAAAGGAAUUGACGGGGACCCGCACAAGCGGUGGAUGAUGUGGAUUAAUUCGAUGCAACGCGAAAAACCUUACCUACCCUUGACAUGGAUGGAAUCCCGGAGAGAUUGGAUCUCGAAUGGAUC
Molecule: ribosomal RNA, 1020 nt
Filed under: Janthinobacterium lividum
Lineage: Bacteria; Pseudomonadati; Pseudomonadota; Betaproteobacteria; Burkholderiales; Oxalobacteraceae
Description: bacterial SSU rRNA
Rfam family: Bacterial small subunit ribosomal RNA
Source: RNAcentral